GACGAACGCUGGCGGCGUGCUUAACACAUGCAAGUCGUACGGUAAGGCCCUUUCGGGGGUACACGAGUGGCGCACGGGUGAGUAACACGUGAGUAACCUGCCCACAACUUUGGGAUAACGCUAGGAAACUGGUGCUAAUACUGGAUAUGUGCUCCUGCUGCAUGGUGGGGGUUGGAAAGCUCCGGCGGUUGUGGAUGGACUCGCGGCCUAUCAGCUUGUUGGUGGGGUAGUGGCCUACCAAGGCGGCGACGGGUAGCCGGCCUGAGAGGGUGACCGGCCACAUUGGGACUGAGAGACGGCCCAGACGCCUACGGGAGGAAGCAGGGGGGAAGAUUGAACAAUGGGCGCAAGCCUGAUGCAGAAACGCCGCGUGCGGGAUGACGGCCUUCGGGUUGGAAACCGCUUUCAGCAGGGACGAAGCUUUUUGUGACGGUACCUGCAGAAGAAGCACCGGCUAACUACGUG
Molecule: ribosomal RNA, 465 nt
Filed under: uncultured bacterium
Lineage: Bacteria
Description: partial 16S ribosomal RNA
Rfam family: Bacterial small subunit ribosomal RNA
Source: RNAcentral